CAGUCAGUCCACAUUUUUACUCUCAGUGCUGGAUCAACUGCUUCAGCAGGUGCUGUCGAGAUCAGCCGGAGAUAUAAAAACAAGCUCCAUCAUGGUGGGGUGAAGGCAGAACGUGGGAACAGAAUGCUAAAGAAUGCAUUCUUGGCUCAAGGCAGCAGAUGAGCGUAAUAAUCAGCACCAACAAGAGCAUCACCUGUCAAUCAAACCUCUGAUGUUAGACCUGAGGAGAGAUGGAGUAUCGGUAUGGAAAUGCUGAACAUUCUACUCAUCAGUUUCCGAGAAACCGAACUUCAGCAUGAAAAACAACCUCUACAGGAUCCUCUUUACACCAGCAGACCUGAAUAUGGUGGAAUAUGGCAUCAUGGAUAAUUGAGUAUACUUAACUCUGAACACUAUCUAUCUACAUACUACAUACUUGAAAACGACUUAGUAUUAUGUGAUUAAAGCAACAGUCCUUCAGGUUUUUCUAAGAGUUUUGUUUUCAAUUGACAGUAGUAGUGUAUAUAUUCAGGGUGCCUCCAUGUCUAUGUUACCUUCUGGCUCUCUGCCUUUAGUUAGGCUGUUUUAUUCAGUUCUGCCGGAGUCAUUAGCCACACUCUGAUAAUGUUUUAAUAUUCUCAGUUUUGCAUAAAUCCAGUAAAAACUAAUUCCAUCUCUCUGCUUUCCUCCGAGUUACUGACUGCCCACCUGUCUGACCCGAUACCGAUGUUGGACCCUCAGGCUCUCGCGUCUCCUGUCCGGCCAGACUGAUGGAAGUUUCUGAAGUCAGCUCUUCUCCACCACCACCACAGAUCAGCUGCUCAUCGACCAUCUUACUCUCCACUACAGAUUACAUCCAAGCCAUUAGUGGCGCUAUUACACUCCUGAGUACAUAAAACCUAUAUGGAUGUAUAAAAGACUUUUUAAAUUUUAAUUUAAAAGCCGUUUGACCAGUGGUAGGAUGGUCCCCCCUUUAAUGUGAGUCUUGGUCCUCCCAAGGUUUCUUCCUCCUCCUGCAGCUCUGAGGGAGUUUUUCCUUGCCUCCGCGCUCACUGGGGGUUCUGUAUUCUGUAUAUUCUAUGUUUAAUGUUUUGCCUGAUUCUUUGUCCUGUAAUCAUGUUUCUGUAAAGCUGCUUUGUGCCAACACCUGUUGUAAAAAGCGCUAUACAAAUAAAUUUGAUUUGAUUUGA
Astyanax mexicanus (Mexican tetra) is the source of this 1169-nucleotide long non-coding RNA. RefSeq lists it as uncharacterized. The transcript has 2 exons. The record is from RefSeq and is a predicted model, not a curated record. NCBI's taxonomy places the organism in Eukaryota, Metazoa, Chordata, Actinopteri, Characiformes, Acestrorhamphidae.